Molecule: long non-coding RNA, 1061 nt
Organism: Spinacia oleracea (spinach)
Lineage: Eukaryota; Viridiplantae; Streptophyta; Magnoliopsida; Caryophyllales; Amaranthaceae
Exons: 3
Source: RefSeq, a predicted model, not a curated record
AGAAUUUAUUAUUUGGUGGUUGGGUUGUAAAUCAUGUAAUUGGAAGUUGUUGGCGGAAGAAAGGAAGGAGAACGUGCUAAUAUCCUUUUUUUUUGACAAAAAAUGAUAAGUCUUUCAUCAAAACAGCUACCCCACCGGCCCACCCUAAAACUAUAUAUGUGCUAAUAUCUAAGAAAAAAAAAAACAGAAAAUAAAAAUCCAUGGAAAACAUUCUAGUUUCUUCCGCCAUCCAAAUUCACGUUCUCCAAACACCACCACCCAUUCAUCUUCUCCAACCAAGUAAUCACCAUAGCCACAAUUCACAAAAAUUUCUCAGAAAUUCAUCCCAACUGUCAAACAAAACAGCUAAUCGCAAUUUAGAAGGCCUCUUAUUAUAGGCCGCUUCUUGUUUUUUCCAAGUCUAAAUCUUUCUCAAAGCUUCAGAAAAAAAUUUCUUAAUUUUGAUAAAUAUAGUGAAAAGUAUCUGAUUUUCCAUGAAAACGCGGGUUUGGAACGCUUGAGUUGACAUCAGUAAACAAAUUGUGAUCGAUUGUUUGGGACGCAUCUUCUUCGUUCCUCCUCUCUACCAAUGUUCUGGAUGUCGAAAUAUCUCCCGUGCUUAUUGCAAAAUUAAAUCGGGAUUAUUUUCUCGAAAAAAAUGAGAUCUGGUCACUACCAUUGGAGGAGAGGAAAGAAAGAACUUUCGAAAUUUUCGUUGGAUCUGCGCUGAUUUGAAGAAUGCAGCUGAAAUAGAUAGGUGUCAUAUUUUUCGGCCCUUAUUUGUCAAGAUCUCCGUGUUUUUUUUAUGCAUAUAAUUUUUGAUAUGUAUAGUUUCCAUAAUCAGCACUGUAUAUUAUUAUAUUAUUAUCGUCUUUGCUUUUUCCGGUGAAAUCUUGCUUUAUAUAUUACCCAAAGAUUGCUGAAAUCUCUGAAAUUCUGACCAAAUUUAUGUAAGAAAAUAUUAGAAAGUGUAUUUAUGUUAAGCAAUCUAUUUAUGUAAGGUUGUACAGGGAUUUCAGCAAUCUAAUUAGACCAUUUUAAGGAAAGUAAGAUAAUGCUUUAUUAUAUUCUCCAAAAUUGCU